Paramarasmius palmivorus is the source of this 94-nucleotide non-coding RNA. The record is from the annotation of a GenBank genome assembly. Lineage: Eukaryota; Fungi; Basidiomycota; Agaricomycetes; Agaricales; Marasmiaceae.
UCCCUGGUAGUAUAUCGGUUACUACACGCGCCUAUCAUGUGGAACGCGAGUUCAAUCGCUGCGCGAAAGCUAGGUUCGACUCCCGGCCAGGGAG